UGAGGAAUAUUGGUCAAUGGACGAGAGUCUGAACCAGCCAAGUAGCGUGCAGGAUGACGGCCCUAUGGGUUGUAAACUGCUUUUGUUUGGGAAUAAUCGACAUUACGUGUAAUGUUUUGCAUGUACCAUUCGAAUAAGGACCGGCUAAUUCCGUGCCAGCAGCCGCGGUAAUACGGAAGGUCCAGGCGUUAUCCGGAUUUAUUGGGUUUAAAGGGAGUGUAGGCGGUUGGUUAAGCGUGUUGUGAAAUGUAGAUGCUCAACAUCUGACUUGCAGCGCGAACUGGCAGACUUGAGUGCGCACAACGUAGGCGGAAUUCAUGGUGUAGCGGUGAAAUGCUUAGAUAUCAUGACGAACUCCGAUUGCGAAGGCAGCUUACGGGAGCGCAACUGACGCUAAAGCUCGAAGGUGCGGGUAUCGAACAGG
Molecule: ribosomal RNA, 424 nt
Filed under: Verrucomicrobiota bacterium
Lineage: Bacteria; Pseudomonadati; Verrucomicrobiota
Description: Verrucomicrobia bacterium partial 16S ribosomal RNA
Rfam family: Bacterial small subunit ribosomal RNA
Source: RNAcentral